CGCCGCCAUCGCGCCUGCGCACUGGCCAGCAGAGGCGGGGAGCGCGGAGCAGGAGCGCACAGUGUGGGGAGAGCUGGAUUUCCACAUCUCGAUCCUAUGUCAUCACAUGACAUCCCCCGCAAUGGGCAUAGAAUCACUGAAGAAUGAUCAAAUGAUGUUCAGAGCUGGAAGAGGAUGGAGGAGGAGGAAAGAGAGAAAGGCUCUCAGUAAACAGAAUGAGAAUGCGAUUUAUUAUCACUGACAUUUAUUGUGAAAUUUGUUUUGCAGUUGCAGUACAAUGCAAGACAUAAAAAUGACAAUAAAUAACAAUAAAAAAUAAAUAUUGUAGAAGAUAACAUUAUCGAUCAUGAACACUUACGGACAGAUCUUCUACCUGAACGUACCUACCUGUGCCAAAGUCUUGGGCGCAUACAUAUAGCUUAAUUUUAUGUAUUGCACUAUACUGCUGCCAAAAAAAGCUUGUGAUGUAUGUGAAUGAUGAUAACCCUGAUUCUGAUAUGGGUCUCCAAUGUGGAUUGAGAGUGGGAAGGAGGCCGGGAGAGGGGAAUUUUGGUUGGGAAAAGGGGAAGGGAGAGGGGGUGGGAGCAGGAAGCACCAGAGAAGCAUUCUGUAAUGAUCAAUAAACCAAUUGUUUGGAAUCAAAUUACCUCGUAUGAUGUCUUAGGGCUGGGUGAAUCUGCACCUGCACCAUCCCCUCGCCCCUGGCACUUCUUCUCUGCCUCCUGCCGCACACCCUUCCCGUGGAGCUCCAUCCUCACCAUCACAAACGUCCUCUGCUCCUGCCAGAUUUACAAACUUGCUCUCCGUUCCACAUUGACAAACACAUUACUGUGCAAAAGUUUGAGGCACCCUAGCUAUAUACAUGUGUCUAAGACUUUUGCAUAGGACUGUACAUAGAUAGCCCAUAAGACAUAGGAGCAGAAUUAGGUCAUUUGCUCCGCUGUUUAAUCAUGGCUCAUCCUUUUUUUCCCUUCUCAGCCCCACUCCCUGGCCUUUUCCCCAUAACCUUUGAUGCCAUGUCCAAUCAAGAACCUUCAAUGUCUGUCUUAAAUACAUCCAAUGACCUGGCCUCCACAGCUGCCUGUGGUAACAAAUACCACCAAUUCACCACCCUCUGGCAAGAGAAAUUUUUCUGCAUCAGUGUUUUAAAUGGUGGACCCUCUAUCCUGAGGCUAUGCCCCCUUGUCUUAGACUCACCCACCAUGGGAAACAUCCUUUCCACAUCUUCUCUGUCUAGGCCUUUCAAUGUUUAAAAUGUUUCAAUGAAAUCCCCCCCUCAUCCUUCUAAAUUCCAGUGAGAACAGACCCAGAGCCAUCAAACACUCUUCAUAUGAUAACCUUUUAGUUCCUGGAAUCCUGCUUGUGAACCUCCUCUCCAAUGUCAGCACAUCUUUUCUUCGAUGAGGAGCCUUAAACUUUUCACAGUACUCGAGGUGAGACUCUUGGUGUGUUCUGCACAAGGACUCCCAAGUCCCUUUGCAUCUCAGGUAUUUGGAUUUUCUCCCCGUUUAAAAAAUAGUCCACACAUUUAUUUCCACUAGCAAAGUGCACGACCAUGCAUUUAACAACAUCGUAUUUCAUUUGCCAUUUUUUUGCCCAUUUGCCUAACCUGUCUAAUGCCUUCUGCAGUUUACCUUUCCCUCAACACUACUUGCCCCUGCACCUCUCUUUGUAUCAUCUGCAAACUUGCAACAAAACCAUCCAUUCCAUCAAAAAAUCAUUGACAUACAGCAUAAAAAGAAGUGAUCCCAACACUGACCCCUGUGGAACACCACCAGUCACUGGCAGCCAACCAGAAAAGGAUCCUUUUAUUCCCACUCACUACCUCCUACCAAUCAGCCAAUGCUCCACACAUGCCAGUAACUUUCCUGUAAUACCACGGACUCUCAACUUGGUAAGCAGCCUAGUGUGUGGCACUUUGUCAAAGGUAUUCUGAAAGUCCAAAUGUACAUUCCUUUUAUCUAUCCUACUUGUAAACUCCUCAAAGAAUUCCAACAGGUUUGUCAGGCAAGAUUUUCCCUUAAGGGAACCAUGCUGACGUUGUCUUAUCUUGUCCUGUGUCACCAAGUACUCCAUAACCUCAUUCUUAAUGAAUGACUCCAACGUCUUCCCAACAACUGAGGUCAGGUUAACUGGUCUAUACUUUCCUUUCGGCUGCCUUCUUCCUUUCUUAAAGAGUGGAGCAACAUUUGCAAUUUUCCAGUCCUCUGGCACCAUGCCAGAGUGCAAAAAAUUUCUGAAAGAUCAUUACUAAUGCUUCCGCAAUCUCUAUCUCAAUUUCUAUGGAUAGGAACAGCUUAAGUAGUUAUGUGCCAAACAUCGGCAAUGGGAGCAGGUUGAUUGUGCUGCUUACUUGACAUGGACAAGUUGGGCCAAGGGAUCUUAUUUUAUUUUAUUUAGAGAUACGCCAUGGUGGCAGGUCCUUUUGGUCCAACAAACCCAUGCAAUCCAUUUAGACCCAUGUGACCAAUUAACUGACUAACCUAUGCAUCUUUGGAAUGUGUAGUUGCUGGAAGAUACCCAUGGGAAGAACAUACAAUUCCCUUACAGACGGUGGCAGGAAUUGAACACAGGUUGCUGGCACUUUUGUCAUGAUGAGCGUAACACUAACAGUACCAUGCUGUCCCAAAUUCUCUGCUGUAUUGUCUAGGACUAAUGCUACCAUGACUACCAAAUCUUGCUAUCUCAUUACUGACGACAUAGCUAUUGACUUACCUCCAUGAUCCAUGGAAAAAGAUGGACUAUGAAGGCUCCUUCACAGACCAUGUUUACAGCUGAUUGUUGGUCUGUGACUAAAUAAUACUGUGGGCAGAUAACAAGCAGAUUACUGGCAGAAUGAAAGUAAAGAAAAAAAGAUGAACGAUUAGUUUUAUUUUUCACGUGUAUUGAAAUAUUGAAAAACUCACUGAAAUGUUUCAUUUUGUCAGUCCAAUUUUGUGCUGAGCGCAGUCUGCAAGCAUUGCCAUGCUUCCAACGCCAACAUACUAUGCCCAGAACAUACUAACCAUAACCUGUACAUCUUUGGAACAGAGAAAACAUACAGACUCCCUAUAAACAGUGACGGGAAUUGAACCCCAGUUGCUGGCGAUAUAAAGCAUUAUGCCAACUGCUACUCUAUCAUACUGUACGUGGAGGAAUAGAAUGGAAUUGCACUAUAAGUAAAGUCAUCUUAUUACGUCCUGCCAUAAAUUUUUUGCAAUGCGUGUCCAAAGGGUCUCCUAGACCCUGUAUUUGAGUUUCAUUUCUCCAUCUCCUCCAUCCAAUUCCAAUGCAGCUUCAUAAAAGUAUGGGGCCUGCUCUUUCUCAAGUUUCGUCAUUAAUAUAUCUUUUUUCACAAGUGCUUUCUUAAAGAUGAAGUAUGAAAGAAAACUAGCCAAUAAUAUAAAAAAAGGAUACAAAAAUUUUUUUCUGAUAUAUAAAGCGUAAAAGAGAGGCAAAAAUGGAUAUUGAACAGCUGGAAGAUUAUGCUGGAGAGAUAGUAAUGGGUAACAAAGAAAUCAUGAGUGAUCUUAAUAAGUAUUUUGCAUUAAUCUUCAGUAGAAGACACCAGCAGAAUGCCAGAAAUAUGAUAAUAUCAGGGGCCAAAAGUUGUUAUUAUUACAAAGAAGGUGCUUGGGAAGCUGAAAAGUCUAAAGACAGAUAAGUCACCUGGACCGGAUGGACUACACCUCAGGGUUCUGAAAGAAGUAGCUGAAGAGAUAGAGGCAGCAUUAGCAAUGAUCUUUCUAGAUUCUGGCAUGGUUCCAGAGGAAUGGAAAAUUGCAAGUGUCACUCAACUCUUUAAGAAGGGAGGGAAGCAGAAGAUUGGAAAUUAUAGGCCAGUUCGCUGACUUCAGUGAUUGGAAAGAUGUUGGAGUCCAUUAGCAAGGGUGGGGUUUUGGGGUACUUGGAGGCAUAUGAUAAACCAGGCCAAAGUCAGCAUGGUUUUUCAAGGGGAAAUCUGUUGGAAUUCUUUGAUGAAAUAACUAGUAGGAUAGACAAAGGAGAGACAAUGGAAUUUUAAUUGGAUUUUCAGAACGCGGAACUCUGCCUCCCAGCUACGGGCAUGUAAGACUAGUUGCUUCUUGUCCGCCUUUAAUCUCUCCCUUUUCCGAUUUAAACUUUGAAAUUUCAACUUUAUUCAGUUGGAUCAGUUAUAAUUAUGGCUACUCUCAGAAGCGCCAAAAGAAAUCCGGACCCAGGCAAUGGAAAGUCCAAGAAAACCAACGAAUUCUGGGAGGAACUCCCCUGGGUAAAGAGACUAGAAUCUCAAAUCAGCAAUAUCAGCAUUGAGAUAACUCAACUAAAAGAGAAAUUUGAAGGAAAAGUCGACUCUUUGAGCCUUGAUCUUAAAGAAGCCAGUUGAAAUACUGUGCACCUUUCUUCACGUUUGGGAAAAGCUCACAAUGGAUCGUCGAUCUCGAAGCUCAAUCACGUCGGAACAAUAUUCGAAUUGUUGGAUUAAAAGAGAAAUCAGAAUUGGCCGACGCACCGGAUUAUUUCACAAAAAUGUUUCAGAUUUUAUUUCCGGAGGUUUGUUUACAGCCUUCAGAUAUCGAAAUGGCUCAUAGAAUCGGCACUUUAAAAUUUUUGGAUCAAGGUAAAAACAGACAUAUUGUGGUGCGCUUUCUCCAUUUCAGAGACAAAGACCAUAUUAUUAAGCUUGCAAGAAAAAAAAGACUCUUUCAAUAUCAGAAUUCAGACAUUCGUUUCUAUGAAGAUUUUCCACGCGAAAUUGUUAAAAAGUGUGCUGGAUUUGCAAAUGCUAUGAAAUCAGCAUAUGAAAAAAAGCUCUUUCCAUUGCUCCAAUAUCCAGUGAAACUGAGGCUCUUCGUUAAAAAAUCUGGUUUUCAUUUCUUUGAUGAUACACUUGAUGCAUUGAGUUUUAUUAAUUCUUUAUCCGACGAAUGAUGAAUCAGAAGCUUGAAUGAUUUAUAAUGAUUUGAUUGUCUUGUGGUGUAAAGAGUGAUGACAUUGAAAGGUUUGAUGGUUACAGAAGUCUUUACUUUAAAAUACAUUUUUAUCUCUGAAAAAGACUGAUUUGGAUGGCUUCAAUUUCAGAAGACAUAGUGGGAGAACUGUCGAUAGUCUGUAAUAAAUUUGAACCAUUUAGAAUUUUUUUCUGCAGCAUUUAAAUGAAUUAAUUGUUUUUUUUUUGUUUCGUAUGCUUUUGUAAAGAUUUUUUUAAGUAAUUAUUUGGAUUUCUUUAUGUUUUAAAGAUAGGACUGACAAUUUAAAGAUGGCGAUUGUUUUUCUUCUGUGCAAAUAUUUCAAGGAUUGUUUUGGAUGUGUUUUUCUUCCCUUUUCUAAUGUUAUGAAGGCUACUUUCAAUUGAAGGUCUUUUUGUUAUACAAGAAAAAUGCUUUCUUUCCAAGUUAAUUAUAUUGAGAUAUAUGUCGACUGUAAUGAGUUUUAUGAUCGGUAGAGGCAGACAGAGAUUAUUUUUUAAAUUUUUUUCUUUUUUUGCUGAGGUAGGCGGACUUUGUAUUUGCAUUAGUGUCUAUGCUUUGCUUGGGGCUUGCGUCGAUUGAUAUCGACUUGUUUCUGGGCUUUGUAGUUUGGGUGGGAUUUUCUUUCUUUUUUUUCCCAAUUAUGGAAUCCUGGAGCAUAUGCCAAUUAUUUUUAUUGUUGUGCAUCUCCGCCAUUUUCGACUAUCGUAUCCUGGCAUACGUCUAACUAUUGUUUUUAGACACAAAGUACAGCUAAAUGUUUUAACUUGGAAUGUUCAUGGCUGGAAUCAUCCUAUUAAGCGUAAGAAAACAUUUAAAGUUAUGAACCGAUUCCAGCCUGAUAUAAUUUUUGCUCAAAAGACGCAUAUCAGGUUAUGUGAUAAAAAUCGAUUUUUCAAAUUUUGAAUGGGUCCUCAGUUUCAUACAAAUUCCCAGAGUAAAACUAGAGUGUUUCUAUUUAUAUUGAUUUCAAUAUUCCUUUUAACCAGGAGGAUAUUAUAACUGAUAUCAAUGGUAGAUUUCUGAUUCUUAAAGGAACAAUUUGUAAUAGAAAAAUGGACAAAAUGUUUCGAUCCCUCAUUUUUUAAAACUGUUUUUGCAUUAUUACCUGAUUUAAACAAACAUAUGUUAUUAAUGGGUGGUGUAGUGUUCUCGCUUGGGUGUAACGGAAUGCCGAACUAAACACCGAGGUAAACCGUAGUCAAUGAAAACAAGGUCGCAGUAAGAUUAACCAUUUACUGUUCACUCUUCCACAUUAACGUAUGGUGAAAACUGUUGAUAAAACAA
Long non-coding RNA from Hypanus sabinus (Atlantic stingray), 6215 nucleotides. RefSeq lists it as uncharacterized. The record is from RefSeq and is a predicted model, not a curated record. The transcript has 3 exons. NCBI's taxonomy places the organism in Eukaryota, Metazoa, Chordata, Chondrichthyes, Myliobatiformes, Dasyatidae.